AAACGUGCCAGCUCAGCAUCUCAGGCAAACCCCUUCCCUACCUACCUCAGUUCCCCAGGUGCACCUAUACAAUAGGUUUGAGUCUCUGGAACUUUAAGGAGAGGUGAGUGAGGAUGUAGUGGGAGGUCCAUCCCCAAGGUUGUUUAAGGUGAGGCAGUCAACUCUGUGCCUCAAGACUGCCUCCACAAAGGAGGAAAGAAGGAUGACUGUCAUAGGCAACUCCCUUCUGACAGGAACAGAGGGCUCUAUAUGUUGGCCUGACCCUACCUGUAGAGAAGUAUGCUGCCUCCCUGGGACCCAGGUCAGGGAUAUUUCUAGGAAACUUUCCAGUCUGAUUCACCCCUGUGAUUAUUAUCCUUUACUAAUUUCAGGUGACAGUGAUGAAGUUGCUGAGAGAAGCUUGAGGACUAUCAAAAGGGACUUCAAGGGCACUGGAGCAGUUAGCUGAUGGACCAUGAGUACAGGCUGGAAAACCUAUCUCUCCACUGAAGUCAGCUAGACUUCAACCACUGAUCCUGUAUGAGCUGACUGAAGAAAUAAUAAAUCCUUGGAUGGUAACAGUAAUUGGAGAAGUCUGAUAGCUUAAGAACUAGGAGAUGCUGAAAUACUACCUUAAUCUACAGCUUCAAGGAAAACUUGAUGGGCUGACCAAUAUGACGUAAAAGUCUGGAUGAAGAAAAUAUCCAGAAUGAAAGACAAAAUGCAGAGGUUCUAUGUGAGGAAGGGUGCAGGGUCCUGGAAGGAACACCAAAAAAGAUGAACAUCUGUGAAAAAUCCAGCCAAAAUUUGUCAUGAAGACAUAUGAAAGGGGCCAGCAUAAAAUCUACCAGUGCAAAAUUGAUCUGAAAAAAAUGUUUUGAACAAAUCUAAUUUGUCAAUCUGAGUUCAUACUUGAUCAGUGUUUUGUACUGUGGAGCUGUCCUACUGGAACUCAAAUGCUGGCUUUGCUAUUUGCAAGGAAAAGUGGCUUAAAAAUGCCUAAGAGACUGUAACAAGGUAUCCAGUUCAUUCAAAAUAUAAUCUUAAUUAUACUUAAUAAUAUAAACUUAUGUAAUAAUUACUUAAUAGAUAACAUAAUAUAAUAUAAACAUAAUAUAAAUAUAAUACAAUAUAAUUAUAGUAAUAUACUUAAUAACAUAAACUUAAUAAUUCUCCAAAAUAGAGAAGUGGAUGGAUUGUUAUAUCUGUAAAAUCUGGGAAAACAACCAGUGUAGAUGAACCCAUGCUUUAGGUGAUAAUGAGAAGGAAAUUACAUAAAAACUGUUAUUUCCAAACUUGAUGUUUUGAUUAUAUUAUCAUUUUCAAGUUUUUUAAUUGCUCUUUGACUUAAGUAAAUAGGUCAGCAUUUUCUCUUGUCUUUUUUUCUUUUCUUUUUUAAUUAAUUAGUUCAUCUGCAGAAAAAAUAGUUUGAUCUCUUUGAAUGUUAGGCCAACUGUUCUUCAUGGCACUCAGAACAAAUUUAUAUUCUCA
Molecule: long non-coding RNA, 1470 nt
Organism: Gallus gallus (chicken)
Lineage: Eukaryota; Metazoa; Chordata; Aves; Galliformes; Phasianidae
Source: Ensembl